Molecule: ribosomal RNA, 70 nt
Filed under: Coprinopsis neolagopus
Lineage: Eukaryota; Fungi; Basidiomycota; Agaricomycetes; Agaricales; Psathyrellaceae
Description: partial 26S ribosomal RNA
Source: RNAcentral
UAACAAUUUUUACCGCAAACCAGGUAAGAAAAACCACCCAACGAAAGCAAACAAAUAAACAAACGAAGGA